UCUCUCUCUCUCUCUCUCUCUCUCACACACACACACACACACUCACUUUUUUUUCUCUUCCUCUCCUUCCAAUUUUUCCUUCAUUCUUCAUUUCCCUCUUCUUUCCUUUAUUAUUUCCUCCUCUUUCCUUCUCUUCCUCCAAAAUUUCCUUCCCUUCACCCCCCCCCCCCCACAUACGCACGCACACACAUCCAGGUCAUAUUAAUUAAAAGUCUCCCACAAGGUUACCUACUCGACUCUGCCCUACCCUGCGUGAACCCGCAUUCCUACGAGUGCGGGGAGGUCACGGAGGCUUGGGCGUGAGCGUAGGUGGGGGAGGAGGUGAGAGGGAGGGGCGUGGGUGCUACCUGUAUUGCGGGAGGGAGAGGGGGAGAGAAGGAGAGCGGGUAGGAAGCGGAGGGAAGAAGAGAAGGAGAGAGAGCCCAACCCAGCACCAUCUCACUCCGAGGUUACAAAACACACACACACACACACACACACACACACACACACACACACACACACACACACACACACGAAGCUCGCAAUUAAUGAUGCGUAUAAUACCAAGGGAUGGAGGCGAGGCGAGGAGGUUGCUUGAGGCAGUCUCUUUCAAGCACUUGCAUAACCACGCUCGGCUGGGCACUCACUGUCUCCUCGGGGUAUAUGCAGUGAAAGCGGAGCAGCGGCCGGCGGAGUGUUGAAAUAAGUCAGCCACUCCAAUACUCGGAUCGCAAUACAAAGUCCCAUGAGGAGGAGAGUCGAGGGAGGGAGAAUGACAGAGACUUCGGGGUAAAGAAAAAAUCCAGGUCGAAAUAGAGUCGCAGGGAGAGGAGGAGGAGAGUCGAGGGAGGGAGAAUGACAGAGACUUCGGGGUAAAGAAAAAAUCCAGGUCGAAAUAAAGAGUCCCAGGAAAAGGAGGAGGAGAGUCGAGGGAGGGAGAAUGACAGAGACUUCGGGGUAAUGAAAAAAUCCAGGUCGAAUAUAGAGUCCCAGGAAGAGGAAGAGGAGAGCUGAGGGAGGCUGGAAUGGAAAAGACCACUCAUUUUUUUAACACCGCCUCAGUUCGCCUGUUUGAAAAUCCUCUCGUCGUAGAAGUUACCGAUGGGAUUAUCAUGGACUGUUUUGUGAUCCCAGUGAUGGCUUUACACGCCUUCUGCACUAUGA
Molecule: long non-coding RNA, 1146 nt
Organism: Eriocheir sinensis (Chinese mitten crab)
Lineage: Eukaryota; Metazoa; Arthropoda; Malacostraca; Decapoda; Varunidae
Exons: 3
Source: RefSeq, a predicted model, not a curated record